UGCUGUGUAAUUUUAGUGCUUCGUAUUUGAAUAAAAUUUGUUUCUGACUUGUGAAAGAUAUGUUAUAAGCCUUUCGACGGAAUAUGUAAAUUACAGUUGAUUGGGGUCCAUAUAAUACCAUUUUGAGUUGCCAGAGUAAAGCUUCCAGAGCAGAGUUGCCAUAGCAGAGCUUCCAGAGCAGAGCUGCCAGAGCCAGAGCUAACCAGAGCAGAGCUUCCAGAGCAGAGGGUCAGAGCCACGUUGCCAGAGCAGAGAUGCCAGAGCCAGUGCUAACCAGAGCAUAGCUGACAGAGCCAGAGCUAACCAGAGCAGAGGUUCCAAAGCAGAGGGCCAGAGCCAAUUUGCCAGAGCAGAGAUGCCAGAGCAGAGCUGCCAGAGCAGAGAUGCUAGAGCUAAGUCAUUAAAGUCAGAGCCAGAGCCAAGUCAUUAAAGUCAGAGCCAGAGCCAAGUCGCCAGAUCCAGAGUCAGAGCUAAGUCAUUAGAGUUAGAGCGGGAUGAUGAGGAUAAAAUCCAGCUCAGUAAUUAGGGGACAACAACCUGACAAGUUAUAAUCUAAUAAUAGCCUUAAUUAGUUUAAUGGCGAGCAUGCGGAAUAGAUGACCAAACGAAUUUACUACUUUACCCCAACUGUAAUGCCUAUAAAUACCUACGAUGAUGAAAUAAAGCACACGCUCUCUCUUUUACUGCUUUAAGAACUCUUCUCUUUCCUUUCUCUCUAGAGUUUGAACUAAUAAAAUUACAUAUAUAAAUAAAAUAUCUAAAUUGUUAGAGUUAUGUUUGUUAGAUAGUUGACAAUUGGAGUCAUGGUUGAAUAUAAUUUCAUAUUUGAUGAUGGUCUCUCAAACUCUAGAUGAGAUGAUGCUCAAAACUCCAGACGAGAUGGUGCUCUUUCAAGUUUUAGACGAGAUGAUUCUCUUUCAAGUUUCAAACAAGAUGAUGCUCAGAAGUUAGAGGUGAUCUGUCAAGUUUGCGACGAGCUGAUGCCCACAACUUGGUUGGUCUUAAAAC
Molecule: long non-coding RNA, 1008 nt
Filed under: Salvia miltiorrhiza (redroot sage)
Lineage: Eukaryota; Viridiplantae; Streptophyta; Magnoliopsida; Lamiales; Lamiaceae
Description: long non-coding RNA (SMIL_LNC010080)
Source: RNAcentral